RNAcentral lists this long non-coding RNA (1907 nucleotides) under Bos grunniens (domestic yak). RNAcentral describes it as "lncRNA (ENSBGRG00000017343.1)". The record is from RNAcentral. Lineage: Eukaryota; Metazoa; Chordata; Mammalia; Artiodactyla; Bovidae.
UUAUUAUUCUAUAGGAGAAGUGAGAGCUGGAACCUGAGAUGUCAGGUAUGUUACCUGAUAUCUCAGGAAUUUUAUCCAAUGACCCAUCAUAACUUUCAUUUUAUUAAAUUUUAUUUCAGGGGCUUCCCUGCUGGCUCAGUGGUAAAGAAUCUUACUGCAAUGCAGGAGACUCCAGAGACACAGAUUUGAUCCCUGGGUCUGGAAGAUCCCCUGGAGAAGGAAAUGGCAACCCACUCCUGUAUUCUUGCCUGGGAAAUCCCAUGGACAGAGGAGCCUAGUGGGCUACAGUCUAUGGAGUUGCAAAAGGGUUGGACACAACUUAGCAACUAAACAAAAACAACAGCAACGAUUUUAUUUUUUAUUUUUUUUUUUUUUUUGUCUCUUCAUGUUUAUGGCCCCACUGUGCUAUGUGGCAUGUGGAAUUUUAGUUCCCUGACCAUGGAUUGAACCUGUGCUUCCUGCGGUGGAAGCUCAAAUUCUUAACCACUGGACCAUCAAGGAAUUUCCAUAACUUUAAAAUUUCAACAAUUUAAGUUAUUUUAUCUAUUUGGAUGGAAAAUAUACUAAAAUGUGAAGUUCAGUGGUAUUUUUCUUAAUUAGUUGAUAGUAGUAAUGGGUCUAGAAUCCAGAAUGUUUGACUGAAAGUCUUUUUCUACUGUACUACACAAUCUCAAGGCACCUAGUCAGCCAUGUCCUAUUGUUGGUUUGCUGGAUGCUCACUGAUGAAAAGCUUUCUACUAUUUAUGGGAAGAAAAGUCCAGCUACUUUCAAAACAAUUUUACCAAAGCAAAUAGCCCAGUUCCCUAUAUAGACAAUGUUCCAUACAUUGUCAAUCAAAAUGUGAAACUUGCAUUGCAUGUUUGAAAACCAUCCUAUAUGAUUUCAAAGACAAGUUAUCAUCCCACUUUUUGCAAGUUUUUAUGUGUACUUUUGUUAGAAAUAUUAUAUAUGCAAGUUGAAAGAACAUUUGGGUGAGAAAAUAAUUAUUUAUAAUUCCAACCUAUCAUUAUUUCUGGCAUUUAGGGAAUUUCUUUCCAGUAUAUUUUUUCUGCACUUAUUUCUAUUCACUUAGUUAUAGUUAUAUGGUUGGUGAUAUUUGGUAGUCCUCUCCACUUAAUAUUCAAGUAUAGAAAUUUAUUUUUAUUAUAUAUUCUUCACAGCCAUUCGUGUUUUGUAGUGGUUCAUUACUUUGAGUAACUAUCCUACAACUCAAACAGUCCAUAUUUUUAAAAUUUAGAUUGUUUCCUCUUUUUAUGCUAUUUUUACGUAUUCCUGCUAUGAACCUCUUCAAGCAUACAUAGUUUUCAUUAUUUAAAGUUGUUUCUUUAGAUCAAAAGGAUGUUUUCAUUCUAAAGACUAUUGAUAUAAGCUGUUGAAUUAUUUUUUAAAAUGGUUUUACCAACCAUUUUACAUAAUACCUACCUACAUAAUACCUACCUACAUAAUAUUUAUUUACCAUAUUUCACCAGUCUUAGGAAUUAUUAUUAAAGUUUUUUUUGCUAGUUGGAAGGUAAAAAAUGGUAACUUGUUUUGAUUUGCAUUUUUAAUUUAUUUUUGUCUUUCCUUACUUUGAUUAUCACUGGACUAUUGAGUUCAAUUAAAUUAAAAGAAAGAUUAAAUACAAGUAAUUAAAAUUUUGUAAUGCACCUAUAUGAUUAAGUAAGCAAAUGGAAACAUAGGAAACUAGCUUAUAUUGGUCAUGGGAGGUCUCUUGGACAAUUGGUAGCUGUAAAUGAAAUGGGGAGAUUUUUGGGGGGAGGAGAAUUAAAAUUGGGCUACUGGCAUCUGAAAUCACUCAAUAUACGUUCAGAAUAUUUCUAGAAUUCUCAGGCUGGUUAACAGGCAUUUAAAGGAGCCUUACCCUCCAAUGUGUAUAUUUGAGCAAUUUUGCUUUUGUAAUAAAAAUU